Molecule: ribosomal RNA, 246 nt
Filed under: uncultured bacterium
Lineage: Bacteria
Description: partial 16S ribosomal RNA
Rfam family: Bacterial small subunit ribosomal RNA
Source: RNAcentral
AACGAACGCUGGCGGCAGGCCUAACACAUGCAAGUCGAACGCCCGCAAGGGAGGUGGCAGACGGUGAGUAACACGUGGGAACGUACCCUUCGGUUCGGGAUAACUCAGGGAAACUUGAGCUAAUACCGGAUACGUCCGAGAGGAGAAAGAUUUAUCGCCGAGGGAUCGCCCGCGUCUGAUUAGCUUGUUGGUGAGGUAACGGCUCACCAAGGCGACGAUCAGUAGCUGGUCUGAGAGGAUGAUCAG